RNAcentral lists this ribosomal RNA (394 nucleotides) under uncultured bacterium. RNAcentral describes it as "partial 16S ribosomal RNA". It matches the Rfam family "Bacterial small subunit ribosomal RNA", at positions 523 to 915 of the family's 1533-position model. The record is from RNAcentral.
AUACGUAGGGGGCGAGCGUUGUCCGGAAUGACUGGGCGUAAAGGGCGUGUAGGCGGCGGUGUAAGUCUGGAGUGAAAGUCCCGCAUUCAAUGUGGGAAUUGCUUUGGAUACUGCAGUGCUAGAGUGCGGAAGAGGUAAGUGGAAUUCCCAGUGUAGCGGUGAAAUGCGUAGAGAUUGGGAGGAACACCAGUGGCGAAGGCGACUUACUGGGCCGUAACUGACGCUGAGGCGCGAAAGCGUGGGGAGCGAACAGGAUUAGAUACCCUGGUAGUCCACGCGGUAAACGAUGAAUGCUAGGUGUUGCGGGUAUCGACCCCUGCAGUGCCGGAGUAAACACAAUAAGCAUUCCGCCUGGGGAGUACGGCAGCAAGGUUGAAACUCAAAUGAAUUGACG